Girardinichthys multiradiatus is the source of this 1732-nucleotide long non-coding RNA. RefSeq lists it as uncharacterized. The record is from RefSeq and is a predicted model, not a curated record. The transcript is spliced from 3 exons. Lineage: Eukaryota; Metazoa; Chordata; Actinopteri; Cyprinodontiformes; Goodeidae.
GGUCAAAAGUUGUGAGGGCGGGAACGUCCGGGUAAACGUCCCUGCCAUUCAGGUUGGAUUAUUUUGAUAGCAACCAGUGGAAAGAAAUAGGUAUGUCAAUUGUCCAGAGGAAAAAACAAUGCUAUCAGCGUGUGAGUGGAUCGUCGCUACACUGUUGUGUACCUCAAUGUUCGUGUUCCUCAUGCUAUAAUUCUAAAGUUAGCUUUCACAGCUUCCCUGCUGAUAAUGUAGCACGUCAGCAAUGGCUAGCCAAAAUCCGGAGGGAUAACUUUAGUCCCACUAGAGACACACGGGUAUGUAGCCGACAUUUCUUACCCGAGGAUCUGAUAGAUACACCGGGGGGGAGGAGAUGGUUAAAAAGGGGUGCUAUUCCCAUUUUUUUUGAGUGGAACAACAACUCAUUGCCUGAGAAAAGACCCGGUGUGUGGGACCGUAGGCCUCGGGAGGAAUCUGUCGCUGCAGAUCCGCAUAUGGACCCUUCUGAAUCGGAGAUUGUGUUUGUAGCUCCUGAUCAUGAUUACUGUGUUUCACUGAAAACCAGAGUAAUGGCCAAUGAGUUACAGAUUGAAAUGCGGCUCUGCACAAGAGAAUUGAACAGCUACAGAGUCAAGUGGAAGGACUGCAGCUGCGGAUCCGUUUUGGUUUGGAGCGCUUUGCAGGCUCAGACGAUGAAAUCAGGUUCUAUACCAGAUUUGCUUCAUACAACCAGUUCCAAUGUUUCUGGAAGCUUGUGGAGUCUGCUGUGAAGACCAAGAUGAUUCGGGUCACCAAUACCAAGGCCUCCAUAGCUGACUCUGACAGAUUUCACACAUACACGAAACUUCCUCCUAUUGAUGAGCUGUUCCUUUUCUUGAUGUACCUGUCCUUGGGUCAGCCACACAGAGAUCUUACUGAAAGGUUUGGCAUCCACCGAACAACUGUAAGCAGGAUCAUCACUACAUGGGCCAACUUUCUAUACCACCUGCUUGGAAGCCAACGCCUCUGGUUGCCCAAGGAGGUGGUGCAUGCUCGACUUCCAGCAGAGUUUGCUUCAUACCCUGACACCUAGGUAGUGCUUGAUUGCACUAAAAUCUACUGCCAGACACCAUCGGAUCUCCUAUUGCAGAGUGAGGUGUUUUCUGCAUACAAGUCCCACUCUACACUCAAAGCCAUGAUCGGCAUGGCACCUCUUGGUGCCAUCACAUUUGUCUCUGCCCUUUUUGCUGGAUCCAUGAGUGAUUGUGAGAUCUUCAAGCAAUCAGGCAUAACCAAUGUAUUAGAGCCAGACAUGGCAAUAAUGGUUGACAAGGGCUUUCUAGUUGACAAUCUGGCUCCCUGCAAAGUAUAUAGGCCAGCCUUCCUCUCAGGGAAAAAUCAGAUGAGCCCACAUGAUGUUCAUGAGACUCAGUCCAUUGCUCGGCUGAGGGUCCAUGUAGAACGCUGCAUCAGGAGAGUGAAGGAGAACAAACUUUUUGACCGCGUACUAUCAGUGUCUGUGUGUGGGAUCAUUGAUGAGCUCUUCAACGUGGCUUGCUACCUGGUAAAUUACCAGUAUGGGCCCCUCGUGAAGGCAUGGGCAAGUUAAAGCAGUAAAUACAAUGUCAACAGUUAAAUUCUCAGAUGUUUAAUGAAAUGGUAUAGAUUUAGAUGCGAUGGCAAAAAGAUAAAUGUGGGUGCUGGUUAAUUUUGUUUCUCAAACUGUUAAAUAGGCUUCUUCAGGUGAUAUGUUCAAUUAAAAUACUUUGCAAAACUA